CUCAGGAAAAGAAUAUAGCAAUUUUCAAUGUUUUACAAAAAGGUAAAAUAGAAGACCUGAUCCAGUGACUCAUUAAGGAGAAAGGACAAAAGAAGGCUAAUGCAAAAAAGUAAGAAGAAAAGGAAGAAAGAAGAAAGGAAGAAGUUAUAGAAAACAUCUCAGAGUAGAGUUAUACUGAAAAAUGGCAGAAUGAUCUUCAAGUCCUCCCAGCCCUUCACCUCAAGCAUGCACUUGAUGCAGAGAUUGGCCAGAGAGAAUGAGAAG
RNAcentral lists this long non-coding RNA (264 nucleotides) under Monodelphis domestica (gray short-tailed opossum). Its description in RNAcentral is "lncRNA (ENSMODG00000047586.1)". Lineage: Eukaryota; Metazoa; Chordata; Mammalia; Didelphimorphia; Didelphidae. The record is from RNAcentral.